AUAUAAAAGUUUUUUUUUUUUAAUUUUGAAUUAUUUUUAAAAUUAAUUUUAAUAAAAUAUAUAAAUUAUUAAAAAAUAACAUCAAAUAAAAUUUUAGGUUUCAUUUAACAACAGUUUAACUUAAAAAUCCACAAUCCCAUUCCAAUAAAUCAUCACAGAAUCACACAAAUCCAAGCAUAGUUUACUUCACAAACCCUAUAUAUCUAUAGAGCAAGAGAGAGAGAGAGAGAG
RNAcentral lists this unclassified non-coding RNA (231 nucleotides) under Hevea brasiliensis (rubber tree). Lineage: Eukaryota; Viridiplantae; Streptophyta; Magnoliopsida; Malpighiales; Euphorbiaceae. The record is from RNAcentral.